UACAGAGGGUGCAAGCGUUAAUCGGAAUUACUGGGCGUAAAGCGUACGUAGGUGGUUGGAUAAGUCAGGUGUGAAAUCCCCAAGCUUAACUUGGGAAUUGCGUUUGAUACUGUCUGACUUGAGUUUGGUAGAGGGAGGUGAAAUUCCAGGUGUAGCGGUGAAAUGCGUAGAGAUCUGGAGGAACACCAGUGGCGAAGGCGGCCUCCUGGACUGAAACUGACACUGAGGUACGAAAGCGUGGGGAGCAAACAGG
RNAcentral lists this ribosomal RNA (253 nucleotides) under uncultured bacterium. RNAcentral's name for it is "partial 16S ribosomal RNA". It matches the Rfam family "Bacterial small subunit ribosomal RNA", at positions 524 to 776 of the family's 1533-position model. The record is from RNAcentral.